AGACCUUCCUUCGGGCAAUUUUCAAGGUGCUGCAUGGUUGUCGUCAGCUCGUGCCGUGAGGUGUUAGGUUAAGUCCUGCAACGAGCGCAACCCCUGUCACUAGUUGCCAUCAUUCAGUUGGGGACUCUAGUGAGACUGCCUACGCAAGUAGAGAGGAAGGUGGGGAUGACGUCAAAUCAUCACGGCCCUUACGCCUUGGGCCACACACGUAAUACAAUGGCCGGUACAGAGGGCAGCUACACAGCGAUGUGAUGCAAAUCUCGAAAGCCGGUCUCAGUUCGGAUUGGAGUCUGCAACUCGACUCUAUGAAGCUGGAAUCGCUAGUAAUCGCGCAUCUGCCAUGGCGCGGUGAAUACGUUCCCGGGCCUUGUACACACCGCCCGUCAAGCCAUGGAAGUCUGGGGUACCUGAAGUCGGUGACCGUAAAAGGAGCUGCCUAGGGUAAAACAGGUAACUAGGGCUAAGUCGUAACAAGGUAACC
This 481-nucleotide ribosomal RNA is filed under the name uncultured Bacteroidota bacterium. RNAcentral describes it as "bacterial SSU rRNA". It matches the Rfam family "Bacterial small subunit ribosomal RNA", at positions 1010 to 1501 of the family's 1533-position model. The record is from RNAcentral. Lineage: Bacteria; Pseudomonadati; Bacteroidota.